CAGUAGCCGCGGUAAUACGAGGGGUGCAAGCGUUACCCGGAAUUACUGGGCGUAAAGCGUGCGUAGGCGGUGGUUUAAGUCCGUUGUGAAAGCCCUGGGCUCAACCUGGGAAUUGCAGUGGAUACUGGAUCACUAGAGUGUGGUAGAGGAUAGUGGAAUUUCCGGUGUAGCAGUGAAAUGCGUAGAGAUCGGAAGGAACAUCUGUGGCGAAGGCGACUAUCUGGGCCAACACUGACACUGAGGCACGAAAGCGUGGGGAGCAAACAGGAUUAGAUACCCCAGUAGUCCCUGUCUCUUAUAC
RNAcentral lists this ribosomal RNA (301 nucleotides) under uncultured bacterium. RNAcentral's name for it is "partial 16S ribosomal RNA". It matches the Rfam family "Bacterial small subunit ribosomal RNA", at positions 509 to 807 of the family's 1533-position model. The record is from RNAcentral.